This 510-nucleotide ribosomal RNA is filed under the name Hepatozoon sp. A.C. Dog isolate 3. Its description in RNAcentral is "partial 18S ribosomal RNA". It matches the Rfam family "Eukaryotic small subunit ribosomal RNA", at positions 513 to 1004 of the family's 1831-position model. The record is from RNAcentral. Lineage: Eukaryota; Apicomplexa; Hepatozoidae.
AAUGAUAGAAAUUUAAACACUUUUUAAAGUAUCAAUUGGAGGGCAAGUCUGGUGCCAGCAGCCGCGGUAAUUCCAGCUCCAAUAGCGUAUAUUAAAAUUGUUGCAGUUAAAAAGCUCGUAGUUGAAUUUCUGUUAAAAAUAACCGGUCUGCUUUUUUUAUUAAAAGUUGNAUCAUUUUGGUGUGUUUUUAACAAUAAUAAUGUCCUUUGAAAAUGUUUUUUACUUUAUUGUAAUAAGUCAUUGUUUUGAGGAUUUUUACUUUGAGAAAAUUAGAGUGNUUUUAGCAGGCUUUUACGCUUUUGAAUACUGCANCAUGGAAAUAAUAAGAUAGGAUUUUNGUUCUNCAUUAUUGGUUUUAAGAACUAAAUUAAUGAUUGNNNGGGAUNGNUGGGGGCAUUUGUAUUUAACUGUCNGANGNGAAAUUCUUAAAUUUGUUAAAGACAAACUUUUGCCAAAGNNUUUGCCAAANAUGUUUUCAUUAAUCAAGAACAAAAGUUAGGGGAUCGAAAA